RNAcentral lists this unclassified non-coding RNA (1196 nucleotides) under Penaeus japonicus. Its description in RNAcentral is "bis(5'-adenosyl)-triphosphatase enpp4-like, transcript variant X1". Lineage: Eukaryota; Metazoa; Arthropoda; Malacostraca; Decapoda; Penaeidae. The record is from RNAcentral.
CAGGUGUCAGGAAGAGAGAAACAAUUUUAGACAAACCAAUUCUCUGUUCGUCUCUCUAUUCACGUGUUUCUCUCGUAUUCUUUAAAUGCCUGAUUGUGAAGAACAUGUCCCUAACACUCCUCUUCCUCUUCCUCUUCAGUAUUAUUCAUGCAGUAAGCACAGGAGAAGAAGAAAAGGAGAAAAACUACACAGUUCUGGUUCUCUCUCCAGAUAGCUUUGGUUAUAACUAUCUCUCUAAGUACGAUUUUAAACACAGAGAUCAGUUGUUUCUUCAUGGCAGUUAUCCCAAAGUGUUCAGAAACCAGUUAAUCCCCAAGACACUUCCAUUGCGACGGGAGUUUACGAGGAGACCCAUGGCGAAUUUCAUUUACGACCUAGACUUGAUCAGGACUCUGACUUUGGACGACGAGGGGUUCUUUACCCAGAAUCUAGUCUCGCUCCCAUUUAGACCCUGAAUGAAGAGCACGAAAGCCACACAGACUGCCUGAUGUGGCCUGGCUGUGACAAGACUUCCACGGAAGAAACGAUACCUACUGGACCCCUUUCCACGAAGAUGCAACCUUCAAGGGAAGGAUCGACGAGGCGGUGGAGUGGAUGACAGACAUGAAAUCCUCGGCCAAUCUUGUGUCCCUCUAUGUGCAGGACCCUGAUACUGAUGGCCAUGCCUAUGGGCCGAACUCUUCUUAUGUUGUGGAGGAGUUGAGGAAGAUCGACAAUGACAUUAGCUACCUCUAUAAAAUGCUGACCGUCUUCAACUUGCUCGACACAACCGAUGUCACCGUGCAGAGUGACCAUGGCAUGAUGGCCGUGCCUGAAGAGAGCAUCAUCAACCUUGGCCAGAUUGUCGAGCCCAAGCUGUACCACACCAGCGGAGGAUCGGUAUUUAUGCACAUUUGACCCAAUGGAGGUAGAGUGUGACUGUUUGUAUUUGUUUUUUUAACCCUUCUGCUUCAGGUAUUUUCAAGGGGUUGGAUCAAUUUCAUACUGCAUUUUUCCUCUUUGGAAAUUGCAAGCUAAUUAUUCCUUCAUUGCUGAUGACCUGCUAUACCAAAUAUUAAUUAGUAUCACUUUUUUAGUAUAUCUUAUAUAGAUUCAUAUUUCAUACCAUAAGUCUAGAAAAUAAUAGAAAACACACACCUUUAGCUACCCAGCCCUUUUCAUAAGGGUAUAUUGACUUGGGUGAUAUUUUUCUUUUC